GACGAAAAUACUUUGACAGUUUAAAUCAAGCAAAAACAUGUUUUGACGAACACAUGUGCAAGAUUAAGAUUAAAAAUUGUGAACAAAUGCAAAACGCAGAAAAAAAACCGGAUACCAGGUCACCCGUGGAACUGUGGUUCGUUGCCGGAAAAAGUAUCGGCCUAACUGCCGCAUUACUACAAACAGUUGGUACCAGUCCUGGCAUAAGGCCAACACUUUUAGACACGACACAAUUCGGCUAGGGACAACCGAAGUCUCGUCAAUAUGCAGCAGGUUCCGUUGCCUUAGCGGUAGCCCCGUAGCCCCGAAUUGUGUCCGGACGAGGAUCUCGUCAAGGCACACAGGAGGACGUACUGGACAAAAUUUACAACGAUUCGGCGAUUCAACCUCCUCUUCGACGUUCGCCGCAUCUACACCCGGAUCCGGAGGACACCUCCCAAUGUAACCCAUAUUCCACUAAAUCUUGCCGUUGAACUAGACAAUGGUAAUUACACCUCACAUCAUCUUCACCAGGAUACUCCGGAACUGAGCGGACCUCCCACCGGGAUGGCACCGAUGCAUUCUAGGAUGCAUUACAAAUCACCACCCGCCUCCACAGAAUCAUCUGCCGCCACACGGUCACCAACAAGGACCGCCCGUCGUGCCCGUUCCCGAGUCCGAGUUCGACAAUAACAGGCGUUGUGAUGGCGACGGAACCGACCGCCACCGUAGGGAUGAUUCCUGCCAAACAGUC
This is a long non-coding RNA of Culex quinquefasciatus (southern house mosquito), 733 nucleotides long. RefSeq lists it as uncharacterized. Lineage: Eukaryota; Metazoa; Arthropoda; Insecta; Diptera; Culicidae. The transcript has 3 exons. The record is from RefSeq and is a predicted model, not a curated record.